UACAGAGGUCCCAAGCGUUGUUCGGAUUUACUGGGUUUAAAGGGUGCGUAGGUGGGCAGUUAAGUCAGUGGUGAAAUCUCCGAGCUUAACUCGGAAACUGCCAUUGAUACUAUCUGUCUUGAAUAUCCUGGAGGUGAGCGGAAUAUGUCAUGUAGCGGUGAAAUGCUUAGAUAUGACAUAGAACACCAAUUGCGAAGGCAGCUCACUACGGGAUUAUUGACACUGAGGCACGAAAGCGUGGGGAUCAAACAGG
Molecule: ribosomal RNA, 253 nt
Filed under: uncultured bacterium
Lineage: Bacteria
Description: partial 16S ribosomal RNA
Rfam family: Bacterial small subunit ribosomal RNA
Source: RNAcentral